UAGAUUGUUCCCUAUAGUGGCCCA
RNAcentral lists this non-coding RNA (24 nucleotides) under Arabidopsis thaliana (thale cress). The record is from RNAcentral. Lineage: Eukaryota; Viridiplantae; Streptophyta; Magnoliopsida; Brassicales; Brassicaceae.